GUACAUGCUUGGGCAGUACGUAUACUAAAAUACAGAGAAAAUCAGCAUGACCCCUGCGCAACGAUGACACGCAAAAUCGUGAAGCGUUCCACUUUUUC
Molecule: small nuclear RNA, 98 nt
Filed under: Danaus plexippus plexippus
Lineage: Eukaryota; Metazoa; Arthropoda; Insecta; Lepidoptera; Nymphalidae
Source: RNAcentral